GUUGAAACCAGGAUUAGAUACCCCGUUAUUCUUAACAGUAAAUAGUUGUGCUUUAGUAGUAUUAGUUAUAUUCUUGAAAUUUAAAGAAUUUGGCGGUAUCUCAGUCUAGCUAGAGGAACCUGUCCUGUAAACGAUAGUCCCCGCAUAAUCUUACUUUCUUAUAUAUGAUAGCUUGUAUAUCGCCAUUAUUAGAUGAUUUUUAAAAAAAUUAUCACAAAAACAUUGAGCUAGGAAAUUAGGUCAAGGUGCAGCUUAUGGGAAAGUAGAGAUGGGUUACAAUAAAAUAAGUUUAUUACGGAUAUUUAUUCUGAAAUAAUAUAUUGAAGGCGGAUUUAGUUGUAAUUCUCUGUUAAUAAGUGAGAAUGAUAAAAGCUCUGAGAUAUGUACACAUCGCCCGUCGCUCGCGGGAAAA
RNAcentral lists this ribosomal RNA (412 nucleotides) under Caridea sp. 2 KYKC-2019. RNAcentral describes it as "partial small subunit ribosomal RNA". It matches the Rfam family "Microsporidia small subunit ribosomal RNA", at positions 648 to 1213 of the family's 1311-position model. The record is from RNAcentral. Lineage: Eukaryota; Metazoa; Arthropoda; Malacostraca; Decapoda.